RNAcentral lists this ribosomal RNA (253 nucleotides) under uncultured bacterium. Its description in RNAcentral is "partial 16S ribosomal RNA". It matches the Rfam family "Bacterial small subunit ribosomal RNA", at positions 524 to 776 of the family's 1533-position model. The record is from RNAcentral.
UACGUAGGGAGCAAGCGUUGUCCGGAAUCAUUGGGCGUAAAGCGCGCGUAGGUGGCCUCAUAAGUCCGCUGUGAAAGUCAAAGGCUCAACCUUUGAAAGCCGGUGGAUACUGUGAGGCUAGAGUACGGAAGAGGCGAGUGGAAUUCCUGGUGUAGCGGUGAAAUGCGUAGAGAUCAGGAGGAACACCCGUGGCGAAGGCGGCCCUCUGGCUCGACCCUGACGCUGAGGCGCGAAAGCGUGGGGAGCGAACGGG